Molecule: non-coding RNA, 74 nt
Organism: Glycine max (soybean)
Lineage: Eukaryota; Viridiplantae; Streptophyta; Magnoliopsida; Fabales; Fabaceae
Source: Rfam
GAUCUAUUAGCUUAGUUGGUUAGAAUGUUGUGUUAAUAAUGUGAAAGUCACAUGUUCAAAUCUUGUAUGAGUCA